AGCCCGGUGGACAGGUGCUGCAUGGCUGUCGUCAGCUCGUGUCGUGAGAUGUUGGGUUAAGUCCCGCAACGAGCGCAACCCUCGCCUUUAGUUGCCAGCAUUCAGUUGGGCACUCUAAAGGGACUGCCGGUGUCAAACCGGAGGAAGGUGGGGAUGACGUCAAGUCCUCAUGGCCUUUAUGUCUAGGGCUACACACGUACCACAAUGGCAGGUACAAAGGGCAGCGACACAGCGAUGUGAUGCGAAUCCCGAAAAGCCUGUCUCAGUCCGGAUCGGAGUCUGCAACUCGACUCCGUGAAGUUGGAAUCGCUAGUAAUCGUGGAUCAGCAUGCCACGGUGAAUACGUUCCCGGGCCUU
This 357-nucleotide ribosomal RNA is filed under the name uncultured Desulfovibrio sp. Its description in RNAcentral is "bacterial SSU rRNA". It matches the Rfam family "Bacterial small subunit ribosomal RNA", at positions 1024 to 1382 of the family's 1533-position model. Lineage: Bacteria; Pseudomonadati; Thermodesulfobacteriota; Desulfovibrionia; Desulfovibrionales; Desulfovibrionaceae. The record is from RNAcentral.